RNAcentral lists this ribosomal RNA (468 nucleotides) under uncultured bacterium. RNAcentral describes it as "partial 16S ribosomal RNA". It matches the Rfam family "Bacterial small subunit ribosomal RNA", at positions 28 to 507 of the family's 1533-position model. The record is from RNAcentral.
GACGAACGCUGGCGGCGUGCUUAACACAUGCAAGUCGAACGGAAAGGCCCUGCUUUUGUGGGGUGCUCGAGUGGCGAACGGGUGAGUAACACGUGAGUAACCUGCCCUUGACUUUGUGAUAACUUCAGGAAACUGGGGCUAAUACCGGAUAGGAGCUCCUGCUGCAUGGUGGGGGUUGGAAAGUUUCGGCCGUUGGGGAUGGACUCGCGGCUUAUCAGCUUGUUGGUGGGGUAGUGGCUUACCAAGGGUUUGACGGGUAGCCGGCCUGAGAGGGUGACCGGCCACAUUGGGCCUGAGAUACGGACCAGACUCCUACGGGAGGCAGCAGUGGAGAGUAUUGCACAAUGGGCGGAAGCCUGAUGCAGAAACGCCGCGUGCGGGAUGCCGGCCUUCGGGUUGUAAACCGCUUUCGCCUGUGACGAAGCGUGAGUGACGGUAAUGGGUAAAGAAGCACCGGCUAACUACGUG